RNAcentral lists this ribosomal RNA (1499 nucleotides) under Lacticaseibacillus paracasei. RNAcentral's name for it is "bacterial SSU rRNA". It matches the Rfam family "Bacterial small subunit ribosomal RNA". The record is from RNAcentral. Lineage: Bacteria; Bacillati; Bacillota; Bacilli; Lactobacillales; Lactobacillaceae.
GAUGAACGCUGGCGGCGUGCCUAAUACAUGCAAGUCGAACGAGUUCUCGUUGAUGAUCGGUGCUUGCACCGAGAUUCAACAUGGAACGAGUGGCGGACGGGUGAGUAACACGUGGGUAACCUGCCCUUAAGUGGGGGAUAACAUUUGGAAACAGAUGCUAAUACCGCAUAGAUCCAAGAACCGCAUGGUUCUUGGCUGAAAGAUGGCGUAAGCUAUCGCUUUUGGAUGGACCCGCGGCGUAUUAGCUAGUUGGUGAGGUAAUGGCUCACCAAGGCGAUGAUACGUAGCCGAACUGAGAGGUUGAUCGGCCACAUUGGGACUGAGACACGGCCCAAACUCCUACGGGAGGCAGCAGUAGGGAAUCUUCCACAAUGGACGCAAGUCUGAUGGAGCAACGCCGCGUGAGUGAAGAAGGCUUUCGGGUCGUAAAACUCUGUUGUUGGAGAAGAAUGGUCGGCAGAGUAACUGUUGUCGGCGUGACGGUAUCCAACCAGAAAGCCACGGCUAACUACGUGCCAGCAGCCGCGGUAAUACGUAGGUGGCAAGCGUUAUCCGGGAUUUAUUGGGCGUAAAGCGAGCCCAGGCGGUUUUUUAAGUCUGAUGUGAAAGCCCUUGGGUUUAACCGAGGAAGCGCAUCGGAAACUGGGAAACUUGAGUGCAGAAGAGGACAGUGGAACUACCAUGUGUUAGCGGUGAAAUGCGUAGAUAUAUGGAAGAACACCAGUGGCGGAGGCGGCUGUCUGGUCUGUAACUGACGCUGAGGCUCGAAAGCAUGGGUAGCGAACAGGAUUAGAUACCCUGGUAGUCCAUGCCGUAAACGAUGAAUGCUAGGUGUUGGAGGGUUUCCGCCCUUCAGUGCCGCAGCUAACGCAUUAAGCAUUCCGCCUGGGGAGUACGACCGCAAGGUUGAAACUCAAAGGAAUUGACGGGGGCCCGCACAAGCGGUGGAGCAUGUGGUUUAAUUCGAAGCAACGCGAAGAACCUUACCAGGUCUUGACAUCUUUUGAUCACCUGAGAGAUCAGGUUUCCCCUUCGGGGGCAAAAUGACAGGUGGUGCAUGGUUGUCGUCAGCUCGUGUCGUGAGAUGUUGGGUUAAGUCCCGCAACGAGCGCAACCCUUAUGACUAGUUGCCAGCAUUUAGUUGGGCACUCUAGUAAGACUGCCGGUGACAAACCGGAGGAAGGUGGGGAUGACGUCAAAUCAUCAUGCCCCUUAUGACCUGGGCUACACACGUGCUACAAUGGAUGGUACAACGAGUUGCGAGACCGCGAGGUCAAGCUAAUCUCUUAAAGCCAUUCUCAGUUCGGACUGUAGGCUGCAACUCGCCUACACGAAGUCGGAAUCGCUAGUAAUCGCGGAUCAGCACGCCGCGGUGAAUACGUUCCCGGGCCUUGUACACACCGCCCGUCACACCAUGAGAGUUUGUAACACCCGAAGCCGGUGGCGUAACCCUUUUAGGGAGCGAGCCGUCUAAGGUGGGACAAAUGAUUAGGGUGAAG